Molecule: ribosomal RNA, 748 nt
Filed under: uncultured Sporichthyaceae bacterium
Lineage: Bacteria; Bacillati; Actinomycetota; Actinomycetes; Sporichthyales; Sporichthyaceae
Description: bacterial SSU rRNA
Rfam family: Bacterial small subunit ribosomal RNA
Source: RNAcentral
UGCAAGUCGAACGGUGAACCACCUUCGGGUGGGAAUCAGUGGCGAACGGGUGAGUAACACGUGGGCAACCUGCCCCGAGCAUUGGGAUAACAGUGGGAAACCGCUGCUAAUACCGGAUACGACGACCGACCGCAUGGUCUGGUCGUGGAAAGGACUCCGGCUCGGGAUGGGCCCGCGGCCUAUCAGCUAGUUGGUGGGGUAAUGGCCUACCAAGGCGACGACGGGUAGCCGGCCUGAGAGGGCGACCGGCCACACUGGGACUGAGACACGGCCCAGACUCCUACGGGAGGCAGCAGUGGGGAAUAUUGCGCAAUGGGCGAAAGCCUGACGCAGCAACACCGCGUGAGGGAUGACGGCCUUCGGGUUGUAAACCUCUUUCAGCUCCGACGAAGCGAAAGUGACGGUAGGAGCAGAAGAAGCACCGGCUAACUACGUGCCAGCAGCCGCGGUAAUACGUAGGGUGCAAGCGUUGUCCGGAAUUAUUGGGCGUAAAGAGCUCGUAGGCGGUCCGUUGCGUCUGCCGUGAAAACCCGGAGCUCAACUCCGGGCCUGCGGUGGAUACGGGCGGACUAGAGUCCGGUAGGGGAGACUGGAAUACCUGGUGUAGCGGUGGAAUGCGCAGAUAUCAGGAGGAACACCGGUGGCGAAGGCGGGUCUCUGGGCCGGAACUGACGCUGAGGAGCGAAAGCGUGGGGAGCGAACAGGAUUAGAUACCCUGGUAGUCCACGCCGUAAACGGUGGGCGCUAG